GGCCAGCUAAAGUACCACAAAACGCCACACCAUUAACUGCGGCUGCAACGUUGGGAGGCAGCGUGCCAGGCUUUGCUGCCCCAUCGACAUGGUAGUAUAUACGACCAAGUAAUUUAGUAACAAGUGAAAUGGAGAAAAGAUCGUAUGCAUCUGUGAAGAAACCCAUUCCAGCAAUUAUGAUUGCAGUGAAAUGGUACCAUUGU
Molecule: unclassified non-coding RNA, 203 nt
Filed under: Hevea brasiliensis (rubber tree)
Lineage: Eukaryota; Viridiplantae; Streptophyta; Magnoliopsida; Malpighiales; Euphorbiaceae
Source: RNAcentral